AACGAACGCUGGCGGCAUGCCUAACACAUGCUAGUCGAACGAGACCUUCGGGUCUAGUGGCGCACGGGUGCGUAACGCGUGGGAACCUGCCCUUAGGUUCGGAAUAACUCCCCGAAAGGGUGCUAAUACCGGAUAAUGUCUUCGGACCAAAGAUUUAUCGCCUUUGGAUGGGCCCGCGUUGGAUUAGCUAGUUGGUAGGGUAAAAGCCUACCAAGGCGACGAUCCAUAGCUGGUCUGAGAGGAUGAUCAGCCACACUGGGACUGAGACACGGCCCAGACUCCUACGGGAGGCAGCAGUGGGGAAUAUUGGACAAUGGGCGAAAGCCUGAUCCAGCAAUGCCGCGUGAGUGAUGAAGGCCUUAGGGUUGUAAAGCUCUUUUACCCGGGAUGAUAAUGACAGUACCGGGAGAAUAAGCGCCGGCUAACUCCGUG
This 432-nucleotide ribosomal RNA is filed under the name uncultured bacterium. RNAcentral describes it as "partial 16S ribosomal RNA". It matches the Rfam family "Bacterial small subunit ribosomal RNA", at positions 29 to 507 of the family's 1533-position model. The record is from RNAcentral.